AUUGAACGCUGGCGGCAUGCCUAACACAUGCAAGUCGAACGGCAGCACAGCAGUAGCAAUACUGUGGGUGGCGAGUGGCGGACGGGUGAGGAAUACGUCGGAAUCUGCCCAGUCGUGGGGGAUAACUAGCCGAAAGGUUAGCUAAUACCGCAUACGACCGAGAGGUGAAAGCGGGGGACCGCAAGGCCUCGCGCGAUUGGAUGAGCCGACGUCGGAUUAGCUAGUUGGCGGGGUAAAGGCCCACCAAGGCGACGAUCCGUAGCUGGUCUGAGAGGAUGAUCAGCCACACUGGAACUGAGACACGGUCCAGACUCCUACGGGAGGCAGCAGUGGGGAAUAUUGGACAAUGGGCGCAAGCCUGAUCCAGCAAUGCCGCGUGUGUGAAGAAGGCCUCGGUUGUAAGCACUUUAUUCAGGAACGAAAAGACGUUAGGAGUUAAUUAACUACUGU
This 450-nucleotide ribosomal RNA is filed under the name uncultured bacterium. RNAcentral describes it as "bacterial SSU rRNA". It matches the Rfam family "Bacterial small subunit ribosomal RNA", at positions 30 to 476 of the family's 1533-position model. The record is from RNAcentral.